Molecule: ribosomal RNA, 254 nt
Filed under: uncultured bacterium
Lineage: Bacteria
Description: partial 16S ribosomal RNA
Rfam family: Bacterial small subunit ribosomal RNA
Source: RNAcentral
UACGUAGGGCGCAAGCGUUAUCCGGAAUUAUUGGGCGUAAAGAGCUCGUAGGCGGCUUGUCGCGUCGACUGUGAAAUCCCGCGGCUCAACUGCGGGUCUGCAGUCGAUACGGGCAGGCUAGAGUUCGGUAGGGGAGACUGGAAUUCCUGGUGUAGCGGUGAAAUGCGCAGAUAUCAGGAGGAACACCGAUGGCGAAGGCAGGUCUCUGGGCCGAUACUGACGCUGAGGAGCGAAAGCGUGGGGAGCGAACAGGG